AAAAACCCUUCCAAUGGAGAUAUUUUUAAAGUGAACGGCCAGAGAUUGAAGUCGUACAAUAUAGGGCAAGUUGUGGGCCAAAUUGAUAUUGUUCAUCUUGUCUGAUAAGAUGCGCAACCGUCGAGCCAAGCGACGUUAAACGAAGCGCUGCGUGGGAGGCAAUCCACAUUUUUGUAUCUAAUCAUUUUAUUUGUUUGGUAGUGUGUUUUCUACUUGCAGGUGUAAACAGUGUUUCAUAGAGGAGAUAAAGGUAGCAAUCGCAGCGAAU
RNAcentral lists this long non-coding RNA (268 nucleotides) under Lathyrus oleraceus (garden pea). RNAcentral describes it as "Pisum sativum (pea) long non-coding RNA (PSAT_LNC012373)". The record is from RNAcentral. Lineage: Eukaryota; Viridiplantae; Streptophyta; Magnoliopsida; Fabales; Fabaceae.